AAUAUUGGACAAUGGGCGCAAGCCUGAUGCAGCGACGCCGCGUGGAGGAUGAAGGCUUUCGGGUCGUCCACUCCUGUCUGGGGGGAUGAAUACUGACAGUACCCCCGGAGGAAGCCCCGGCUAACUACGUGCCAGCAGCCGCGGUAAUACGUAGGGGGCGAGCGUUGUCCGGAAUUAUUGGGCGUAAAGGGCGCGUAGGCGGCUUUACAAGUCAGACGUGAAAGCCCCGCUUUUAAGGUGGGAAGUGCGUUUGAAACUGUAGGGCUUGAGUGCAGGAGAGGAAAGUGGAAUUCCAAGUGUAGCGGUGAAAUGCGUAGAGAUUUGGAGGAACACCAGUGGCGAAGGCGGCUUUCUGGACUGUAACUGACGCUGAGGCGCGAAAGCGUGGGGAGCAAAC
RNAcentral lists this ribosomal RNA (397 nucleotides) under uncultured bacterium. RNAcentral's name for it is "partial 16S ribosomal RNA". It matches the Rfam family "Bacterial small subunit ribosomal RNA", at positions 360 to 773 of the family's 1533-position model. The record is from RNAcentral.